AUUGAACGCUGGCGGCAGGCCUAACACAUGCAAGUCGAGCGGAUGAAGGGAGCUUGCUCCUGGAUUCAGCGGCGGACGGGUGAGUAAUGCCUAGGAAUCUGCCUGGUAGUGGGGGAUAACGUCCGGAAACGGGCGCUAAUACCGCAUACGUCCUGAGGGAGAAAGUGGGGGAUCUUCGGACCUCACGCUAUCAGAUGAGCCUAGGUCGGAUUAGCUAGUUGGUGGGGUAAAGGCCUACCAAGGCGACGAUCCGUAACUGGGCUGAGAGGAUGAUCAGUCACACUGGAACUGAGACACGGUCCAGACUCCUACGGGAGGCAGCAGUGGGGAAUAUUGGACAAUGGGCGAAAGCCUGAUCCAGCCACGCCGCGUGUGUGAAGAAGGUCUUCGGAUUGUAAAGCACUUUAAGUUGGGAGGAAGGGCAGUAAGUUAAUACCUUGCUGUUUUGACGUUACCAACAGAAUAAGCACCGGCUAACUUCGUG
RNAcentral lists this ribosomal RNA (484 nucleotides) under uncultured bacterium. RNAcentral describes it as "partial 16S ribosomal RNA". It matches the Rfam family "Bacterial small subunit ribosomal RNA", at positions 30 to 507 of the family's 1533-position model. The record is from RNAcentral.